GACGAACGCUGGCGGCAUGCCUAAUACAUGCAAGUAGAACGCACAGUUUAUACUGUAGCUUGCUACACCAUAGACUGUGAGUUGCGAACGGGUGAGUAACGCGUAGGUAACCUGCCUGGUAGCGGGGGGUAACUAUUGGAAACGAUAGCUAAUACCGCAUAAUAUUGAUUAUUGCAUGAUAAUUGAUUGAAAGAUGCUAUUGCAUCACUACCAGAUGGACCUGCGUUGUAUUAGCUAGUAGGUGAGGUAACGGCUCACCUAGGCGACGAUACAUAGCCGACCUGAGAGGGUGAUCGGCCACACUGGGACUGAGACACGGCCCAGACUCCUACGGGAGGCAGCAGUAGGGAAUCUUCGGCAAUGGACGAAAGUCUGACCGAGCAACGCCGCGUGAGUGAAGAAGGUUUUCGGAUCGUAAAGCUCUGUUGUAAGAGAAGAACGGGUGUGAGAGUGGAAAGUUCACACUGUGACGGUAUCUUACCAGAAAGGGACGGCUAACUACGUG
This 505-nucleotide ribosomal RNA is filed under the name uncultured bacterium. RNAcentral's name for it is "partial 16S ribosomal RNA". It matches the Rfam family "Bacterial small subunit ribosomal RNA", at positions 28 to 507 of the family's 1533-position model. The record is from RNAcentral.